Molecule: ribosomal RNA, 400 nt
Filed under: uncultured bacterium
Lineage: Bacteria
Description: bacterial SSU rRNA
Rfam family: Bacterial small subunit ribosomal RNA
Source: RNAcentral
GGAAUAUUGCGCAAUGGAGGAAACUCUGACGCAGUGACGCCGCGUAUAGGAAGAAGGUUUUCGGAUUGUAAACUAUUGUCGUAGGGGAAGAUAAAAGACAGUACCCUAGGAGGAAGCUCCGGCUAACUACGUGCCAGCAGCCGCGGUAAUACGUAGGGAGCAAGCGUUAUCCGGAUUUAUUGGGUGUAAAGGGUGCGUAGACGGGAGAGCAAGUUAGUUGUGAAAUCCCUCGGCUUAACUGAGGAACUGCAACUAAAACUACUUUUCUUGAGUGUUGGAGAGGAAAGAGGAAUUCCUAGUGUAGCGGUGAAAUGCGUAGAUAUUAGGAAGAAUACCAGUGGCGAAGGCGUCUUUCUGGACAACAACUGACGUUGAGGCACGAAAGUGUGGGGAGCAAACA